Molecule: long non-coding RNA, 847 nt
Organism: Brassica napus (rape)
Lineage: Eukaryota; Viridiplantae; Streptophyta; Magnoliopsida; Brassicales; Brassicaceae
Exons: 6
Source: RefSeq, a predicted model, not a curated record
UAAUUAUUUCGUCGAUACGGCCCAGUAUGGUAGUAAUGUCAAUUGCGCAGACCCUAAUAAUGAUUAGACAAAAAAAAAACCAAAUCUGAUCUUCUUCUUCUAUGCGGCCGUGAUGCGGAUCUUCUGCAAUUCUUCAUUGGAUCUGAAACGGUUUAUUAAUGGCUGUGUGGUAAAUCGCAUUGAUCAUCCCUCCACGAUUCAUCUUCAAUGUUUUGUGAAAGGCGGUCUCUAAACAGUAUAAAUAGAGGUCUGGCUGCUCAGAUUCUAGGACCCCAGAAACGUUAGACGCGGUGGCGAGUUGAUGAUGGGUGUCUACAUGCUCUUUGUCGAUUCUCAGAUGUGUUUCAGGCGACUUCCAUUCCAGCCACCAAUGAAAAGGAGGUAGCACUCAAGAUUCAAGAGGCAGAUGGUUCAUGGUAUUGAAGUUGGGUAGUUUGCUACACGUAUGCAACGUGGUUUUCUCUUGGAGGCUUGGCACGAACUGGUAAAACAUAUGAAAACUAUUUGGUUAUGCGUGAAGGUGUUGACUUCCUUCGAGAAACUAAACAACAAUGGAGGUUGGGAAGAAAGGGCGAGAGAGAUCUACUGCCUCUUCACCGUGUUGGGAAACUGAUCAUCAAUUCACAUUUAGAAAACAGAGACUACCCUCAACAGGAAAUGACAGGAGUGUUAAUGAAGAGUUGUAUUCUAAACAAUGUCACCUACAAGCAAAGAAUUGUAUUUGCAGAAACUAAGAAUUUUGUACUGAGAACCCCAUUCUCUUUUUUUCCUAACUAUUACUGUCACACAAACAAGUAGUUACAGUUAGUCAAACAAUAACAAUCUACUUACUUAUGCCAGUUCCAAA